RNAcentral lists this ribosomal RNA (471 nucleotides) under uncultured organism. RNAcentral's name for it is "partial 16S ribosomal RNA". It matches the Rfam family "Bacterial small subunit ribosomal RNA", at positions 335 to 797 of the family's 1533-position model. The record is from RNAcentral.
ACUCCUGCGGGAGGCAGCAGUGGGGAAUUUUGGACAAUGGGCGAAAGCCUGAUCCAGCAAUGCCGCGUGCAGGAUGAAGGCCUUCGGGUUGUAAACUGCUUUUGUACGGAACGAAAAAGCUCCCUCUAAUACAGGGGGCCCAUGACGGUACCGUAAGAAUAAGCACCGGCUAACUACGUGCCAGCAGCCGCGGUAAUACGUAGGGUGCGAGCGUUAAUCGGAAUUACUGGGCGUAAAGCGUGCGCAGGCGGUUAUGUAAGACAGAUGUGAAAUCCCCGGGCUCAACCUGGGAACUGCAUUUGUGACUGCAUGGCUAGAGUACGGUAGAGGGGGAUGGAAUUCCGCGUGUAGCAGUGAAAUGCGUAGAUAUGCGGAGGUACACCGAUGGCGAAGGCAAUCCCCUGGACCUGUACUGACGCUCAUGCACGAAAGCGUGGGGAGCAAACAGGAUUAGAAACCCCGGUAGUCCCA